RNAcentral lists this long non-coding RNA (334 nucleotides) under Homo sapiens (human). RNAcentral's name for it is "non-protein coding lnc-CNPPD1-2:1". The record is from RNAcentral. Lineage: Eukaryota; Metazoa; Chordata; Mammalia; Primates; Hominidae.
GUGUGAGCCACUGCAUCCAGCCUCCACUCACCUCUUAAAGGCCCAUCUGUCAAUAUUGCCACAUUAGGGAUUAAAUUUCAACUGAGUUUUGAAGGGGACAAAUAUUCAAAUCAUAGCAGUACCCAUGGGACAUUCAAGUGGAGAUGCCUAGUUGGGAGUUCUGGGAAAGGAAAUGAACUAAGAUUUAGAAGGCAUCCGCAUCUGAGUGGGAACUAUAUGGGUGAAUAUAUGAAAUCGUCCAUGAUGAGUGAGCAGAGGGCAAAGACAAGUGAGCCACUGACACCCAACAAAAUACCAACAUUUUUAGGUUGUGGGGUGAGGGGCAGAGUUUCGC